Molecule: ribosomal RNA, 1689 nt
Filed under: seawater metagenome
Description: bacterial LSU rRNA
Rfam family: Bacterial large subunit ribosomal RNA
Source: RNAcentral
CGUCGGCAGCGUCAGAUGUGUAUAAGAGACAGUAUUCGAAGCUAAGUGAAUUAGAACUGUUUGGAAAGACAGACCAAAGAGGGUGAUAGUCCCGUAUAAGUAAGCGAAGUUUAGAUAGUGGUACCCUGAGUAGUGCGGGACACGAGUAAUCCUGUAUGAAUCCACCGGGACCAUCCGGUAAGGCUAAAUACUCCUGAGAGACCGAUAGUGAACUAGUACCGUGAGGGAAAGGUGAAAAGAACCCUAAGUAAGGGAGUGAAAGAGAUCCUGAAACCGUACGCCUACAAGCGGUCGGAGCACAUUUACUGUGUGACGGCGUGCCUUUUGCAUAAUGAGCCUACGAGUUACUGUUUCUAGCAAGGUUAAAUGAUUAAGUCAUGGAGCCGUAGCGAAAGCGAGUCUGAAUAGGGCGCACAGUUAGUAGUAGUAGACGCGAAACCGAGUGAUCUACCCAUGGGCAGGUUGAAGCUGUGGUAACACACAGUGGAGGACCGAACCAGUUGACGUUGAAAAGUCUUUGGAUGACCUGUGGGUAGGGGUGAAAGGCCAAUCAAACCCGGAAAUAGCUCGUACUCCCCGAAAUGCAUUUAGGUGCAGCGUUGUGGUAAAGUUUUAUAGAGGUAGAGCUACUGAUUGGAUGCGGGGGCUUCACCGCCUACCAAUUCCUGACAAACUCCGAAUGCUAUAAAAUAUACACAGCAGUGAGGGCAUGGGUGCUAAGGUCCAUGUCCGAGAGGGAAAGAACCCAGACCAUCAGCUAAGGUCCCCAAAUAUAUGUUAAGUUGAACUAACGAGGUGAAACUGCUUAGACAGCUAGGAUGUUGGCUUGGAAGCAGCCAUUCAUUUAAAGAGUGCGUAACAGCUCACUAGUCGAGCGGUUUUGCAUGGAUAAUAAUCGGGCAUAAACAUAUUACCGAAGCUAUGGAUUUGUAAUUUAUUACAAGUGGUAGGGGAGCAUUGUAACCUGCGUAGAAGGUGUACUGUAAAGUAUGCUGGAGUGGUUACAAAAGAAAAUGUAGGCAUAAGUAACGAUAAUGCGGGCGAGAAACCCGCACACCGAAAGACUAAGGUUUCCUCAGCGAUGCUAAUCAGCUGAGGGUUAGUCGGGUCCUAAGGCGAAUCCGAAGGGAGUAGUCGAUGGAUAACAGGUUAAUAUUCCUGUACUUCUUAUAAUUGCGAUGGGGUGACGGAGUAAUGAAAGCACCGCGUACUGACGGAAUAGUACGUUGAAGAAUGUAGCUAUAGAACCAGAUUAAGAGUUAGGUUUUGGCAAAGUUCGAUAGUACCACAACUCUUCGGACGAGUGGAUAGUGUGCCUAAAGGCUUCCAAGAAAAACCUCUAAGCUUCAGAUUAUAAGAACCCGUACCGUAAACCGACACAGGUAGUUGGGAUGAGAAUUCUAAGGUGCUCGAGAGAUUCAUGGCUAAGGAACUAGGCAAAAUAGACCUGUAACUUCGGGAGAAAGGUCGCCCCGCUUUACGGCGGGGCCGCAGUGAAAAGGUCCAGGCGACUGUUUAUCAAAAACACAGGGCUCUGCUAAAUCGAAAGAUGAUGUAUAGGGCCUGACACCUGCCCGGUGCUGGAAGGUUAAGUGGAGGGUUUAGCUUCGGCGAAGAUCUGAAAUGAAGCCCCAGUAAACGGCGGCCGUAACUAUAACGGUCCUAAGGUAGCGAAAUUCCUUGUCGGGU